Molecule: ribosomal RNA, 424 nt
Filed under: uncultured Methanosarcina sp.
Lineage: Archaea; Methanobacteriati; Methanobacteriota; Methanomicrobia; Methanosarcinales; Methanosarcinaceae
Description: bacterial SSU rRNA
Rfam family: Archaeal small subunit ribosomal RNA
Source: RNAcentral
CCUACGGGGGGCAGCAGGCGCGAAAACUUUACAAUGCGGGAAACCGUGAUAAGGGGACACCGAGUGCCAGCAUCAUAUGCUGGCUGUCCGGAUGUGUAAAAUACAUCCGUUAGCAAGGGCCGGGCAAGACCGGUGCCAGCCGCCGCGGUAACACCGGCGGCCCGAGUGGUGAUCGUGAUUAUUGGGUCUAAAGGGUCCGUAGCCGGUUUGGUCAGUCCUCCGGGAAAUCUGAUAGCUCAACUAUUAGGCUUUCGGGGGAUACUGCCAGACUUGGAACCGGGAGAGGUAAGAGGUACUACAGGGGUAGGAGUGAAAUCUUGUAAUCCCUGUGGGACCACCUGUGGCGAAGGCGUCUUACCAGAACGGGUUCGACGGUGAGGGACGAAAGCUGGGGGCACGAACCGGAUUAGAUACCCUUGUAGUC